RNAcentral lists this ribosomal RNA (492 nucleotides) under uncultured bacterium. RNAcentral's name for it is "partial 16S ribosomal RNA". It matches the Rfam family "Bacterial small subunit ribosomal RNA", at positions 29 to 507 of the family's 1533-position model. The record is from RNAcentral.
AGUGAACGCUGGCGGUAGGCCUAACACAUGCAAGUCGAACGGCCGCACAGUAAGAGCUUGCUCUUACGGGUGGCGAGUGGCGGACGGGUGAGGAAUACAUCGGAAUCUACUUUUUCGUGGGGGAUAACGUAGGGAAAGUUACGCUAAUACCGCAUACGACCUACGGGUGAAAGCAGGGGAUCUUCGGACCUUGCGCGAUUGAAUGAGCCGGUGUCGGAUUAGCUAGUUGGCGGGGUAACGGCCCACCAAGGCGACGAUCCGUAGCUGGUCUGAGAGGAUGAUCAGCCACACUGGAACUGAGACACGGUCCAGACUCCUACGGGAGGCAGCAGUGGGGAAUAUUGCGCAAUGGGCGCAAGCCUGAUCCAGCCACACCGCGUGAGUGAAGAAGGCCUUCGGGUUGUAAAGCCCUUUUGUUGGGAAAGAAAAGCAGCAGGUUAAUACCCCGCUGUUCUGACGGUACCCAAAGAAUAAGCACCGGCUAACUUCGUG